AAGUAUAAGCAAUUAUACCGUGAAACUGCGAAUGGCUCAUUAAAUCAGUUAUCGUUUAUUUGAUAGUACCUUACUACUUGGAUAACCGUGGUAAUUCUAGAGCUAAUACAUGCUGAAAACCCCAACUUCGGAAGGGGUGUAUUUAUUAGAUAAAAAACCAAUGCCCUUCGGGGCUUCUUGGUGAUUCAUGAUAACUAAACGGAUCGCAUGGCCUUGCGCCGGCGACGGUUCAUUCAAAUUUCUGCCCUAUCAACUUUCGAUGGUAAGGUAUUGGCUUACCAUGGUUUCAACGGGUAACGGGGAAUUAGGGUUCGAUUCCGGAGAGGGAGCCUGAGAAACGGCUACCACAUCCAAGGAAGGCAGCAGGCGCGCAAAUUACCCAAUCCCGACACGGGGAGGUAGUGACAAUAAAUACUGAUACAGGGCUCUUUUGGGUCUUGUAAUUGGAAUGAGUACAAUUUAAACCUCUUAACGAGGAACAAUUGGAGGGCAAGUCUGGUGCCAGCAGCCAAU
RNAcentral lists this ribosomal RNA (513 nucleotides) under uncultured fungus. Its description in RNAcentral is "SSU rRNA". It matches the Rfam family "Eukaryotic small subunit ribosomal RNA", at positions 61 to 583 of the family's 1831-position model. The record is from RNAcentral. Lineage: Eukaryota; Fungi.